This 577-nucleotide ribosomal RNA is filed under the name uncultured fungus. Its description in RNAcentral is "eukaryotic LSU rRNA". The stretch from base 204 to 357 matches the Rfam family "5.8S ribosomal RNA". The record is from RNAcentral. Lineage: Eukaryota; Fungi.
CAUUAGUGAAACUUCAAAGUCGGCUUGUCAUACUGUGCUGGUGGAGACACAUGUGCACGUUACAAGUCGCAAAUCCACACACCUGUGCAUCUUAUGACUCUGAGUGCCGCUUUGCAUGGCCUUGACCGGCCUGGCGCUCGAGUACCUUUCACACACUCUUGAAUGUAAUGGAAUGUCUAUUGUGCAUAAUGUACAAAUGAAACAACUUUCAACAACGGAUCUCUUGGCUCUCGCAUCGAUGAAGAACGCAGCGAAAUGCGAUAAGUAAUGUGAAUUGCAGAAUUCAGUGAAUCAUCGAAUCUUUGAACGCACCUUGCACCCUUUGGUAUUCCGAAGGGUACACCCGUUUGAGUGUCAUUGUAAUCUCACUACAAUCGACUUUUACGGUCUUUUCGUAUGUGGACUUGGAUGCUGCCGUGGAUAUCCUACGGCUCGUCUGAAAUGCCUGAGUGUACCCCGCUUUGCGGCGUAUUCGGUGUGAUACAUCUUCACCGGAGUUGAUCCGAAAGGAUCGCGUCUGUAAUGGUGUGGUUCUAUGCUUUCCAACCGUCUUGACAGGACAAUCUCUGACAAUUUG